CUUUAUAUUUGCUUGACUGGGAAGCCAUUCAUCAUCCUGUGUCUCUAUUUUAUCAUCCCCAAAGAGUUUCUUGGAGUUCACUGAACUCCCUGGACUACAUGGCGUGGAGAGACUAAUACCUUAAACCAUGAGAGUCUGAAAUGGAACAGCUACCAGAGUCGGCAGUCACAGGGCUCCGUGAAGAAGCAGCCUAGGACCUAUCACAGAGAAGAUGGCCUUGGUGUCCUGACCACUCUCCAGCCAUCGAAGCAGUGGACCGGCCCCAGGGCGCGGGCUCCUUGGGCAAACAGUGCCCAGAAUAUUUUGGUGAGCACUGUAAGUUAUUCGUGAUGACAUCAACCUCCUACAGU
RNAcentral lists this long non-coding RNA (350 nucleotides) under Sus scrofa (pig). RNAcentral's name for it is "lncRNA (ENSSSCG00070000380.1)". The record is from RNAcentral. Lineage: Eukaryota; Metazoa; Chordata; Mammalia; Artiodactyla; Suidae.